Molecule: long non-coding RNA, 207 nt
Filed under: Helianthus annuus (common sunflower)
Lineage: Eukaryota; Viridiplantae; Streptophyta; Magnoliopsida; Asterales; Asteraceae
Description: hypothetical non coding rna
Source: RNAcentral
UUGCAACAAGUAUAGUUGUUAUUUGAACAAUAACUUACAUCAACUUUUACAUCCAAAUGCCAAGUAGAAGCUUGCGCAUCUAUGAUGAGUUUCUGUAGUGGAAUAACUAAAAAGUACAAUAACUGCUACCACGUCACUGCCAUGUAGGCAAUGACAAUAACUAGUAAAAAAAAAAAAAAAAAAAAAAAAAAAAAACUUGCAGCUUGA